AAAAACUUGAUAAUUUUAUUAUCUUUUUACUGAGGAUGUAUAUGCAGGACAUAUUGUUAAUUAGGAAUUCUUCGUUUAUGAUCGUUUC
RNAcentral lists this small nucleolar RNA (88 nucleotides) under Torulaspora delbrueckii CBS 1146. RNAcentral's name for it is "Small nucleolar RNA snR57". It matches the Rfam family "Small nucleolar RNA snR57". Rfam says of the family: snR57 is a member of the C/D class of snoRNA which contain the C (UGAUGA) and D (CUGA) box motifs. Most of the members of the box C/D family function in directing site-specific 2'-O-methylation of substrate RNAs. The record is from Rfam by way of RNAcentral. Lineage: Eukaryota; Fungi; Ascomycota; Saccharomycetes; Saccharomycetales; Saccharomycetaceae.